GAUGAACGCUGGCGGCGUGCUUAACACAUGCAAGUCGAGCGGAGAUAUUUGAAAGCUUGCUUUUGAAUAUCUUAGCGGCGGACGGGUGAGUAACGUGUGGGCAACCUGCCUCAUACAGAGGGAUAAUCAUGUGAAAACGUGACUAAUACCGCAUGUCAUUUGUUGAAGGCAUCUUCGACAAAGAAAAGGAGCAAUCCGGUAUGAGAUGGGCCCGCAUCUGAUUGGCUAGUUGGUGAGAUAACGGCCCACCAAGGCGACGAUCAGUAGCCGACCUGAGAGGGUGAUCGGCCACAUUGGGACGGAGACACGGCCCAAACUCCUACGGGAGGCAGCAGUGGGGAAUAUCGCUCAAUGGGGGAAACCCUGAUGCAGCAACGCCGCGUGAAGGAAGACGGUUUUCGGAUUGUAAACUUCUAUCAAUAGGGACGAAGAAAGUGACGGUACCUAAAUAAGAAGCCCCGGCCAACUACC
Molecule: ribosomal RNA, 471 nt
Filed under: uncultured bacterium
Lineage: Bacteria
Description: bacterial SSU rRNA
Rfam family: Bacterial small subunit ribosomal RNA
Source: RNAcentral